AUUGAACGCUGGCGGCAGGCCUAACACAUGCAAGUCGAGCGGAUGAAGGGAGCUUGCUCCUGGAUUCAGCGGCGGACGGGUGAGUAAUGCCUAGGAAUCUGCCUGGUAGUGGGGGAUAACGUCCGGAAACGGGCGCUAAUACCGCAUACGUCCUGAGGGAGAAAGUGGGGGAUCUUCGGACCUCACGCUAUCAGAUGAGCCUAGGUCGGAUUAGCUAGUUGGUGGGGUAAAGGCCUACCAAGGCGACGAUCCGAAACUGGUCUGAGAGGAUGAUCAGUCACACUGGAACUGAGACACGGUCCAGACUCCUACGGGAGGCAGCAGGGGGGAAUUUUGGAAAAUGGGCGAAAGCCUGAUCCAGCCAUGCCGGGGGGGUGAAGAAGGUCUUCGGAUUGUAAAGCACUUUAAGUUGGGAGGAAGGGCAGUAAGUUAAUCCCUUGCUGUUUUGACGUUACCAACAGAAUAAGCACCGGCUAACUUCGU
RNAcentral lists this ribosomal RNA (483 nucleotides) under uncultured bacterium. RNAcentral's name for it is "partial 16S ribosomal RNA". It matches the Rfam family "Bacterial small subunit ribosomal RNA", at positions 30 to 506 of the family's 1533-position model. The record is from RNAcentral.